AAUAUUUGACUCUUCAUCUUAUUUAAAAUUUUUCUAUAAUUAAUAUUUUUAUUGUUAUUAGAUGACAAAACAUGAAUAGUACUUUAUGCGAGACUUCUUUUCAUAAAUUUUUCGAAUAAAAUGGACGGUCAAACAUU
Molecule: microRNA precursor, 137 nt
Filed under: Oryza glumipatula
Lineage: Eukaryota; Viridiplantae; Streptophyta; Magnoliopsida; Poales; Poaceae
Description: MIR812 microRNA precursor family
Rfam family: MIR812 microRNA precursor family
Source: Rfam by way of RNAcentral